RNAcentral lists this ribosomal RNA (468 nucleotides) under uncultured bacterium. RNAcentral describes it as "partial 16S ribosomal RNA". It matches the Rfam family "Bacterial small subunit ribosomal RNA", at positions 28 to 507 of the family's 1533-position model. The record is from RNAcentral.
GACGAACGCUGGCGGCGUGCUUAACACAUGCAAGUCGAACGGAAAGGCCCUGCUUUUGUGGGGUGCUCGAGUGGCGAACGGGUGAGUAACACGUGAGUAACCUGCCCUUGACUUUGGGAUAACUUCAGGAAACUGGGGCUAAUCCCGUAUAGGAGCUCCUGCUGCAUGGUGGGGGUUGGAAAUUUUCGGCGGUUGGGGAUGGACUCGCGGCUUAUCAGCUUGUUGGUGGGGUAGUGGCUUACCAAGGCUUUGACGGGUAGCCGGCCUGAGAGGGUGACCGGCCACAUUGGGACUGAGAUACGGCCCAGACUCCUACGGGAGGCAGCAGUGGGGAAUAUUGCACAAUGGGCGGAAGCCUGAUGAAGCAACGCCGCGUGCGGGAUGACGGCCUUCGGGUUGUAAAAAGCUUUAGCCUAUGACGAAGCGUGAGUGACGGUAAUGGGUAAAGAAGCACCGGCUAACUACGUG